CUUCUAAUCAAGGUUUCACUUUUGAAACCAUUUACGUUUACCCAAGAUAAAUAAAUGGUAAACACUUUUAUUGUUCAUUCAGUAUAAAUAAAUAGGUGAUAAACAUUGGUUUUUAUUUAGCUUUUAAUUGACUAUACAUUCGAAAUAGUAUUUUUUCUUAAAAAGAUAACUUUUUGUGUGUGUGCAUUACAUACUUAAAUUAUUGGAUAAAAUAGUUAAUAUGAGCAUGUACAAUAAAUAUUGCAUCUCAUGUCGGAGUUUUGUAUGUGCGUUUGAUUUGAAGUUUGAAACACAACUUAGAUCUAAAUUUAAAAAUUCAAAGUGUUAUCCGAAAUGAUUGGGCGUAAAGCGUCUGUAGGUGGCUUUUCAAGUACGCCGUCAAAUCCCAGGGCUCAACCCUGGACAGGCGGUGGAAACUACCAAGCUGGAGUACGGUAGGGGCAGAGGGAAUUUCCGGUGGAGCGGUGAAAUGCAUUGAGAUCGGAAAGAACACCAACAGCGAAAGCACUCUGCUGGGCCGACACUGACACUGAGAGAUGAAAGCUAGGGGAGCAAAUGGGAUUAGAGACCCUAGUAGUCCUAGCCGUAAACGAUGGAUACUAGGUGUUGUGUGACUCGACCCGUGUAGUGCUGUAGCUAACGCGUUAAGUAUCCCGCCUGGGGAGUACGUUCGCAAGAAUGAAACUCAAAGGAAUUGACGGGGGCCCGCACAAGCGGUGGAGCAUGUGGUUUAAUUCGAUGCAAAGCGAAGAACCUUACCAUGGCUUGACAUGCCGCGAAUCCUCUUGAAAGAGAGGGGUGCCCUCAGGAACGCGGACACAGGUGGUGCAUGGCUGUCGUCAUCUCGUGUCGUAAGGUGUUGGGUUAAGUCUCGCAACGAGCGCAACCCUCGUGUUUAGUUGCCACUAUGAGUUUGGAACCCUGAACAGACCGCCAGUGUUAUAGGAAUGAAAUAGAAAAUAAUGAAUAAAAAUAGAAAAGAAAAAGAAAGCAUUUCCCUAGCCCAAUUCCCUUUCCCUUAGCCGGCCAAGUUUCCUUACCCUUCACGCAGCCCAACUCUCAACUUCUCCCCCAUAGCCCGCACAUCCUUGAUCCACCGAUAGGCGGAGCCCCACUUUAGCUUCCCACCGU
RNAcentral lists this ribosomal RNA (1131 nucleotides) under Zea mays. RNAcentral describes it as "bacterial SSU rRNA". The stretch from base 273 to 1131 matches the Rfam family "Bacterial small subunit ribosomal RNA", at positions 1 to 1161 of the family's 1533-position model. RNAcentral also lists the same sequence under 1 other name. The record is from RNAcentral. Lineage: Eukaryota; Viridiplantae; Streptophyta; Magnoliopsida; Poales; Poaceae.